Molecule: long non-coding RNA, 530 nt
Filed under: Zea mays
Lineage: Eukaryota; Viridiplantae; Streptophyta; Magnoliopsida; Poales; Poaceae
Description: long non-coding RNA NONZMAT000320
Source: RNAcentral
UGGAAGCCAUGGCCGGUGAACCUCCCGGUUAGUGUUCAAGUGCCCCGAUUUCAAAAUUAACAAGCGCUAGACCAUGCUAAGGUUGCGAUGAACGAAUGGGAGACAUUACUCACCAGAUUUAGUGGCAAAGAGGCCCCGGCCCCGGCAAGGUGCAACCCGCGACGAACCCGGGUCUCCGGUGAGCAAUCCACAGGAUACCGUCGACUCUGGCGACCAAGGGCCAGGCGGUACGUGAUCUACGCUCGAUAACCAUGCACCCCAACCCCACGACGAGCACCGAGCGGCAAUGGAGGCAAGGCGAGGGGCGCGACGACUUUCUUUCCUUCCAAGGCGUAAACAGCAACCUCACAACGGUACUUGGUGCUUGUAAUGCUCCGGCCAGAUGGGUGAGACAGUCGCGGAUCCCAGACUAUAUAGCGCGGAGUUCGAUAUGCUCGACCGGAGCGAACCCGAGAUUUUCGCCUGGUGGUUGAGAUCGUCGCGCUCGCAAUGGGGAAGAUGACUCCAGCUGCCUAGUGUAGAGGGUUGGC